RNAcentral lists this ribosomal RNA (900 nucleotides) under uncultured Bacteroidota bacterium. Its description in RNAcentral is "bacterial SSU rRNA". It matches the Rfam family "Bacterial small subunit ribosomal RNA", at positions 43 to 943 of the family's 1533-position model. The record is from RNAcentral. Lineage: Bacteria; Pseudomonadati; Bacteroidota.
CAGGCCUAACACAUGCAAGUCGAGGGGUAACGAUGUCUUCGGACAGGCGACGACCGGCGCACGGGGGAGUAUCGCGUUUUUAACCUACCUUUAACUGGAGAAUAGCCCGAAGAAAUUCGGAUUAAUACUCCAUAAUACUAUGAUCUGGCAUCUUUUUAUAGUUAAAGCUCCGGCGGUUAAAGAUGGACAUGCGUAACAUUAGUUUUUUGGUGAGGUAACGGCUCACCAAGACUACGAUGUUUAGGGGGUCUGAGAGGAUGGUCCCCCACACUGGUACUGAGACACGGACCAGACUCCUACGGGAGGCAGCAGUGAGGAAUAUUGGUCAAUGGGCGAAAGCCUGAACCAGCCAUGCCGCGUGAAGGAUGACAGCGCUAUGCGUUUUAAACUUUUUUUUUACAGGAAGAAACACUUUUACGUGUAGAAGCUUGACGGUACUGUACGAAUAAGCAUCGGCUAACUCCGUGCCAGCAGCCGCGGUAAUACGGAGGAUGCAAGCGUUAUCCGGAUUUAUUGGGUUUAAAGGGUACGUAGGCGGAAAAUUAAGUCAGUAGUGAAAUCCCGCAGCUUAACUGUGGAACUGUUAUUGAUACUGGUUUUUUUGAAUUUAGUUGAGGUAGGCGGAAUGUGUAAUGUAGCGGGGAAAUGCUUAGAUAUUACACAGAACACCGAUUGCGAAGGCAGCUUACUAAGCUAUGAUUGACGCUGAGGUACGAAAGCGUGGGGAGCGAACAGGGUUAGAUACCCUGGUAGUCCACGCCGUAAACGAUGAUCACUCGUUUUUGGCAAUAAACAGUCAGCGACUGAGCGAAAGCAUUAAGUGAUCCACCUGGGGAGUACGCUCGCAAGAGUGAAACUCAAAGGAAUUGACGGGGGCCCGCACAAGCGGAGGAACAUGUG